Molecule: unclassified non-coding RNA, 200 nt
Filed under: soil metagenome
Description: partial contains internal transcribed spacer 2 and large subunit ribosomal RNA
Source: RNAcentral
UAUUCGAGCGUCAUUAUGACCAAUCCAGCCUGGCUGGGUGUUGGGCUUCGCGUUCCCCGCGGGCCCCAAAACUAGUGGCGGUGCUCUCAGGCUCUACGCGUAGUAACUUUCUCGCUAUAGAGUCCUGGGCGAUGCUUGCCAGCAACCCUCAAUUUUUACAGGUUGACCUCGGAUUAGGUAGGGAUACCCGCUGAACUUAA